CACGUAGGGCGCAAGCGUUGUCCGGAAUUAUUGGGCGUAAAGAGCUCGUAGGCGGUCUGUUGCGUCCGCUGUGAAAACUCGGGGCUUAACCCCGAGCCUGCAGUGGAUACGGGCAGACUAGAGGUAGGUAGGGGAGACUGGAAUUCCUGGUGUAGCGGUGAAAUGCGCAGAUAUCAGGAAGAACACCAAUGGCGAAGGCAGCUCUCUGGGACGGUACUGACGCUGAGACGCGAAAGCGUGGGGAGCGAACAGG
This 253-nucleotide ribosomal RNA is filed under the name uncultured bacterium. Its description in RNAcentral is "partial 16S ribosomal RNA". It matches the Rfam family "Bacterial small subunit ribosomal RNA", at positions 524 to 776 of the family's 1533-position model. The record is from RNAcentral.